RNAcentral lists this transfer RNA (62 nucleotides) under Drilaster sp. BMNH 840462. RNAcentral describes it as "tRNA-His". It matches the Rfam family "tRNA". From Rfam's summary of the family: Transfer RNA (tRNA) molecules are approximately 80 nucleotides in length. Their secondary structure includes four short double-helical elements and three loops (D, anti-codon, and T loops). Further hydrogen bonds mediate the characteristic L-shaped molecular structure. tRNAs have two regions of fundamental functional importance: the anti-codon, which is responsible for specific mRNA codon recognition, and the 3' end, to which the tRNAs corresponding amino acid is attached (by aminoacyl-tRNA synthetases). tRNAs cope with the degeneracy of the genetic code in two manners: having more than one tRNA (with a specific anti-codon) for a particular amino acid; and 'wobble' base-pairing, i.e. permitting non-standard base-pairing at the 3rd anti-codon position. Lineage: Eukaryota; Metazoa; Arthropoda; Insecta; Coleoptera; Lampyridae. The record is from RNAcentral.
AUUCAAAUAGUUUAAUAAAAUACUGAAUUGUGGUGUCAGAGUUAUAGUUUCUAUUUUGAAUA